Pleuronectes platessa (European plaice) is the source of this 791-nucleotide long non-coding RNA. RefSeq lists it as uncharacterized. The transcript is spliced from 3 exons. The record is from RefSeq and is a predicted model, not a curated record. Lineage: Eukaryota; Metazoa; Chordata; Actinopteri; Pleuronectiformes; Pleuronectidae.
CAUGAAGUGCUGCAUUUCUCUCAGAACCAGUUGUGUAACGUCCUGUGUGGCUCAGCAGUGGGUUUUUAAAGUCAGAGACGACUCUGUCCCAGUUUGAGUUUUCAGUCCUCGUGAGCUAAUUAAGAUGUGGAUGUUCUCCUCGGGGCAAGUGUUCGUCUCAACCGCCUUUCAAGAGGCUCCUGGUCUCACAUUAAUCUGCGUCCUGAGGGGAACGAGGACAUCGAUCUGCUGUUCCCACCACAUCAAUCUCACUCUGACCAGAUGAACCAGAUUAAAGAGAAGAUGUUCAUCACAUCCAGGAAGUGAGGAGGGUCGAAAGAGCAGCAGCCAAAUUACCUGAGUGGGAGCGAGAGGGGUGUGUGUAUGUGCAUGUGUGUGUGUAUGUGUGUGUGUGUGCGCCUGCUGCAGGACACACUCCCUCAUCUGUGGUUCAUGAAGCUCAGCUCCUGCUCCCGCCUCCAGACAGAUUUGAUUUCUCCUCAAUCAGCUGCAGAAUCGUUGGUUUUGCAGAAUAAAAGCUUCAAACUGACUUUUCACUGCGGGUCACUCCAGAGGAAUCACAGAGAUUCACAUCUAAACACAGUUUGUACAUCCAGUAAACAAAUUCCGAAAGUCAGCCAUAGAUUUUUUAAAUAAAUGUUCAAAGACUCAGGGUCCAGAAGUGAAGCUGAUGUUGUACUGAUGAUCAAUUAUGAUUAUUUCUGAGCCAAACUGCAGAAACAUUUAAAACAUAUUUUCACGGUUCGGGACAGAAGUGUUUCUGUUUAACGAGCAGAUGAGACUCAACAACA